Long non-coding RNA from Suricata suricatta (meerkat), 919 nucleotides. RefSeq lists it as uncharacterized. The transcript is spliced from 3 exons. Lineage: Eukaryota; Metazoa; Chordata; Mammalia; Carnivora; Herpestidae. The record is from RefSeq and is a predicted model, not a curated record.
UCUCCAAACUGGGAACAUGGUUUCUGAGAUGUUUUAAGUGUUCUAUUCCAUCCCUCCUCUCCCAGAUUAGGACUGAAUUAUUUUUCCUCCACCGAUAGUCUGAACUAAGGCUUUCCCCACACUCUAAUGCUUUCCUUGAAGUCUUAAUAGUCCCUUUCCAAACUUUCCAAGCAGAGAAGCAUGAGUUGAUAUUAAAGGGUGACAAAUACUUAAGCUCUAUGACAGAUGCUGUGAGCUGUCUGCCCUGUAUCCUUCUUUACUAACUGCCCCUUUCUUCUUUAGUAACAAAACCCCAGUUUUCAUUUGAUGCUAUAGCUAGGGAUGACCACAUAACAACAUCAUGGCUAAUGAUACAUAAGGUUAGGGUUUCUGAGAGAGAUUUUGUUUUCCUAAUGUUGCCAUUUCCUAUCUUCCACUCCAUUUUCUUUCUGCUUUGUAAAUAUAAUGUGUUGUCUGGUGGUGCAGCAACCAUUUUGCAAGCAUGAGGCAAAAAGUUUGCAGAUGAAGAUCUAUGGGUUAAGGAUGAUGAAAUGGGAAGAAAAUGGAAAGAACCUGGGUUCUUGAUUGCAUUGUUAUAGAACCCCAGCCUGCCUAACUGAAGCAUAUAAUUGUUGGAAAGCCAUUGGAAAGUUGGAACAGAGGAACCACAUAGUCUGCCAUACUUUAAGAGGAUUCUUCUGGCUCCCACACUUCGAGGGGUGCAGAAGCAAGAAGGCCUCUGAAGUGAUCUGUGGAGAAAGGACGGCAGCUUGGACUGGAGUGGCAGCAAUGACAUGUGAAGAGCAGGAGGAUUCUCAGGUGUCCCAUAUCCCCAAGCGCCUGUAGUUAAGCUGGAUUUGCACAGUAGCAAUAAAACUUUUAAGAAGGAAGUCUCCUGAAUGGAUCAGUCUGACCCUUAAUGUUGACUGAGUCACGAUUG